This 537-nucleotide ribosomal RNA is filed under the name uncultured bacterium. RNAcentral's name for it is "bacterial SSU rRNA". It matches the Rfam family "Bacterial small subunit ribosomal RNA", at positions 359 to 917 of the family's 1533-position model. The record is from RNAcentral.
GGANUGGAAAUGAGCGAAGCUUGAUCCAGCAAUGUCGCGUGAAUGAUGAAGGACCCGUUUUUCCGUAAAAUUCUUUUUCUAUUAUACAUUAUGAUCUUAAUAGAGAAUAAGUACCGGCUAACUUCGUGCCAGCAGCCGCGGUAAUACGAAGGGUACUAGUGUUAUUCUACUUUAUUGGGCGUAAAGCGCAUGACGACGGUUUAUAUAAAUUAAUUAUUAGAAUUCUAAAGCUUAACUUUAGCUUUGUAAUUAAUAAAUUAAGCUAAGAGUUUUGUAUAGAAGUAAACAGUACUUUAAAAAUAGGGGUGGAAUCCAUAAAUUUUUUAAAGGACUAACAAUUGGCGAAAGCAGUUGUACUAUAACAGAACUGACGUUUUAGUGCAAAAGCAUAGGUAGCAAACUGGAUUAGAUACCCAGGUAGUCUAUGCUGUGACCUAUGAGUAUUAAAUCCAUUAUUUUUAGUGGGUAUCAGCUAACGCGUAAAUACUCCGCCUGGGGACUACGACCGCAAGGUUAAAACUCAAAAGAAUUGACGGA